UAGGGAGGGAGUGACUAGUGACAGAGGGAGGGAGCGGGUGACACAGUGACAGAGUUAGGGAGGGAGUAACUAGUGACAGAGAGAGGGAUGGGGUGACUAGUGACAGUCACCCCCCCCUCACUCUGUCACCAGUCAUCCCCUCACUCUGUCACUAGUCACCCCUUCCCUCCCUCACUCUGCCACUAGUCACCCAUUCCCUCACUCUGUCACUAGUCUCCCAUUCCCUCACUCUGUCACUAGUCUCCCAUUCCCUCCCUCUGUCACUAGUCUCCCCCUCUCCUUCC
Non-coding RNA from Pelobates cultripes (western spadefoot toad), 284 nucleotides. The record is from the annotation of a GenBank genome assembly. Lineage: Eukaryota; Metazoa; Chordata; Amphibia; Anura; Pelobatidae.